UCGGGAAUUUUGGGCAAUGGGCGAAAGCCUGACCCAGCAACGCCGCGUGAAGGAUGAAGUAUUUCGGUAUGUAAACUUCGAAAGAAUAGGAAGAAUAAAUGACGGUACUAUUUAUAAGGUCCGGCUAACUACGUGCCAGCAGCCGCGGUAAUACGUAGGGACCAAGCGUUGUUCGGAUUUACUGGGCGUAAAGGGCGCGUGGGCGGCAAUUCAAGUCAUCUGUGAAAUCUCCGGGCUUAACUCGGAACGGUCAGAUGAUACUGCUUUGCUAGAGUGCAGAAGGGGCAAUCGGAAUUCUUGGUGUAGCGGUGAAAUGCGUAGAUAUCAAGAGGAACACCUGAGGUGAAGACGGGUUGCUGGGCUGACACUGACGCUGAGGCGCGAAAGCCAGGGGAGCAAACGGGAUUAGAUACCCCCGUAGUCCCUGAGCGGGCUGGCAAGGCGCAU
RNAcentral lists this ribosomal RNA (447 nucleotides) under uncultured bacterium. Its description in RNAcentral is "bacterial SSU rRNA". It matches the Rfam family "Bacterial small subunit ribosomal RNA", at positions 355 to 825 of the family's 1533-position model. The record is from RNAcentral.